GCAUAUCAAUAAGCGGAGGAAAAGAAACUAACAAGGAUUCCCCUAGUAACUGCGAGUGAAGCGGGAAAAGCUCAAUUUAAAAUCUGGCAGUCUUUGGCUGUCCGAGUUGUAGUCUGGAGAAGCGCUUUCCGCGCUGGACCGUGUACAAGUCUCCUGGAACGGAGCGUCAUAGAGGGUGAGAAUCCCGUCUUUGACACGGACUACCAGUGCUUUGUGAUGCGCUCUCAAAGAGUCGAGUUGUUUGGGAAUGCAGCUCAAAAUGGGUGGUAAACUCCAUCUAAAGCUAAAUAUUGGCGAGAGACCGAUAGCGAACAAGUACCGUGAGGGAAAGAUGAAAAGCACUUUGGAAAGAGAGUUAAACAGUACGUGAAAUUGCUGAAAGGGAAACGCUUGAAGUCAGUCGCGUUUGCUAGGACUCAGCCUUGCCUCGGCUUGGUGCAUUUCCUAGUAGACGGGCCAGCAUCACUUUUGGCUGCGGGAAAAAGGUCAGAGGAAUGUGGCACCUCCGGGUGUGUUAUAGCCUCUGGCUGUAUACCGUGGCUGGGAGUGAGGAACUCAGCACGCCUUCAUGGCGGGGCUUCGGCCACCUUCGUGCUUAGGAUGCUGGCGUAAUGGCUUUAAACGACCCGUCUUGAAACACGGACCAAGGAGUCUAACAUGCCUGCGAGUGUUUGGGUGGAAAACCCGAGCGCGUAAUGAAAGUGAAAGUUGGGACCUCUGUCGUGGAGGGCACCGACGCCCGGACCAGACCUUCUGUGACGGAUCCGCGGUAGAGCAUGUAUGUUGGGACCCGAAAGAUGGUGAACUAUGCCUGAAUAGGGUGAAGCCAGAGGAAACUCUGGUGGAGGCUCGUAGCAAUUCUGACGUGCAAAUCGAUCGUCAAAUUUGGGUAUAGGGGCGAAAGACUAAUCGAACCAUCUAGUAGCU
This 927-nucleotide ribosomal RNA is filed under the name Phanerochaete stereoides. RNAcentral describes it as "partial large subunit ribosomal RNA". It matches the Rfam family "Eukaryotic large subunit ribosomal RNA", at positions 38 to 952 of the family's 3401-position model. Lineage: Eukaryota; Fungi; Basidiomycota; Agaricomycetes; Polyporales; Phanerochaetaceae. The record is from RNAcentral.